This 77-nucleotide transfer RNA is filed under the name Pseudomonas sp. RNAcentral's name for it is "tRNA-Arg". It matches the Rfam family "tRNA". Rfam says of the family: Transfer RNA (tRNA) molecules are approximately 80 nucleotides in length. Lineage: Bacteria; Pseudomonadati; Pseudomonadota; Gammaproteobacteria; Pseudomonadales; Pseudomonadaceae. The record is from RNAcentral.
GCACCUGUAGCUCAACUGGAUAGAGCAGCACACUUCUAAUGUGCAGGUUCGGGGUUCGAGUCCCUGCAGGUGUACAA